Molecule: ribosomal RNA, 377 nt
Filed under: uncultured organism
Description: partial 16S ribosomal RNA
Rfam family: Bacterial small subunit ribosomal RNA
Source: RNAcentral
GAAUGGGUGCAAGCGUUAUCCGGAAUUAUUGGGCGUAAAGCGUCCGCAGGCGGCGCAUUAAGUUGGGGCGUUUAAAGCCUCCAGCUCAACUGGAGUUUAGUGCCCGAAACUGGUGUGCUAGAGACUUGGAGAGGUUAGUGGAAUUCAGUGUGUAGGGGUAAAAUCCGUAGAUACACUGAGGAACACCAAAAGCGAAGGCAGCUAACUGGCCAAGUUCUGACGCUCAGGGACGAAAGCGUGGGGAGCGAACGGGAUUAGAUACCCCGGUAGUCCACGCCGUAAACGAUGAAUACUAGCUGUUGGUCCUGCUCGACCGGGACCAGUGGCGUCGCUAACGCAUUAAGUAUUCCGCCGGGGGAGUACGGCCGCAGGGCUAA